UACAGAGGUCCCCAAGCGUUGUUCGGAUUCACUGGGCGUAAAGGGUGCGUAGGUGGCCGGGUAAGUCUGAUGUGAAAUCUCCGAGCUUAACUCGGAAACUGCAUCGGAUACUAUUUGGCUCGAGGGUUGGAGGGGGGACUGGAAUACUGGGUGUAGCGGUGAAAUGCGUAGAUAUCCGGAGGAACACCGGUGGCGAAGGCGGCUUCCUGGACCGACACUGACGCUGAGGCGCGAAAGCUAGGGGAGC
This 247-nucleotide ribosomal RNA is filed under the name uncultured bacterium. Its description in RNAcentral is "partial 16S ribosomal RNA". It matches the Rfam family "Bacterial small subunit ribosomal RNA", at positions 524 to 769 of the family's 1533-position model. The record is from RNAcentral.